RNAcentral lists this ribosomal RNA (429 nucleotides) under Gemmatimonadota bacterium. RNAcentral describes it as "Gemmatimonadetes bacterium partial 16S ribosomal RNA". It matches the Rfam family "Bacterial small subunit ribosomal RNA", at positions 355 to 776 of the family's 1533-position model. Lineage: Bacteria; Pseudomonadati; Gemmatimonadota. The record is from RNAcentral.
UAGGGAAUCUUCGGCAAUGGACGAAAGUCUGACCGAGCAACGCCGCGUGAGUGAAGAAGGUUUUCGGAUCGUAAAACUCUGUUGUUAGAGAAGAACAAGGACGUUAGUAACUGAACGUCCCCUGACGGUAUCUAACCAGAAAGCCACGGCUAACUACGUGCCAGCAGCCGCGGUAAUACGUAGGUGGCAAGCGUUGUCCGGAUUUAUUGGGCGUAAAGCGAGCGCAGGCGGUUUCUUAAGUCUGAUGUGAAAGCCCCCGGCUCAACCGGGGAGGGUCAUUGGAAACUGGGAGACUUGAGUGCAGAAGAGGAGAGUGGAAUUCCAUGUGUAGCGGUGAAAUGCGUAGAUAUAUGGGGGAACACCAGUGGCGAAGGCGGGUCUCUGGUCUGUAACUGACGCUGAGGCUCGAAAGCGUGGGGAGCAAACAGG